AGUGAACGCUGGCGGUAGGCCUAACACAUGCAAGUCGAACGGCAGCACAGUAAGAGCUUGCUCUUACGGGUGGCGAGUGGCGGACGGGUGAGGAAUACAUCGGAAUCUACUUUUUCGUGGGGGAUAACGUAGGGAAACUUACGCUAAUACCGCAUACGACCUACGGGUGAAAGCAGGGGAUCUUCGGACCUUGCGCGAUUGAAUGAGCCGAUGUCGGAUUAGCUAGUUGGCGGGGUAAAGGCCCACCAAGGCGACGAUCCGUAGCUGGUCUGAGAGGAUGAUCAGCCACCCUGGAACUGAGACACGGUCCAGACUCCUACGGGAGGCAGCAGUGGGGAAUAUUAGACAAUGGGCGAAAGCCUGAUCCAGCAAUACCGCGUGGGUGAAGAAGGACUUCGGGUUGUAAAGCCCUUUUGUUGGGAAAGAAAAGCAGCAGGUUAAUACCCCGAUGUUCUGACGGUACCCAAAGAAUAAGCACCGGCUAACUUCGUG
This 492-nucleotide ribosomal RNA is filed under the name uncultured bacterium. RNAcentral describes it as "partial 16S ribosomal RNA". It matches the Rfam family "Bacterial small subunit ribosomal RNA", at positions 29 to 507 of the family's 1533-position model. The record is from RNAcentral.